Molecule: long non-coding RNA, 1592 nt
Organism: Felis catus (domestic cat)
Lineage: Eukaryota; Metazoa; Chordata; Mammalia; Carnivora; Felidae
Exons: 4
Source: RefSeq, a predicted model, not a curated record
CCAAGUGGGCCAGAGGCUUCUAGGAAGUUCGAGCCUCCCUUCCCCUCUUCCUCUCCCUUAUAAGCCAUAUCCCAGAAACCAUGCCAAGAGGAGCUUGAGGUGUGGCUGUAGGAGAGGCAAGAGUUAUGGAGCAGUAUGUUAUAUGCUCCCUUCCAAGACCAGACCCAGGCUAAUUUGAAGUCCCAUACCCUCUAGCUAUGUCUACUGUCAAGAUGUGUAUCUGUGAAAUCUACUGGAAGAUUUCAUUGAGCUAAUAAAAGCAUUAGGAGUAUAGUCAAUAAAAUGAGCUUUUAACAACAUGGAAAAUUGCUUAGGCCAUAAGAAACAAAACCAAGGGCAUAUACAAGUAAAAAAAAAAUGCUUAGAAAAUAAGAUUUGAAAAAAAUACACCAAAAUAUUGACACUUCUAGGCUGGAAGUACUCAGGACUACUGCUCUAUCCUGCCCAGUCAACAUUCUCCCUUCAGAAAAUAAUCCCCUAUAUUUGCUUUGGUGAACCACCCUCCCCUCAUUCUCAGACAAGUGUCCUGGGUGAAGCUACAGAUGUGGAACCCAGUGCACUAAAGCUAAUCAUCUUAUCUCAUUCCCCUGCCAUAAUCUGUGCAUGGACAUGUAGCCUAAUUAGAGCCAAUGAGACAUGAGGAAAUGUUUACUACUAGACUUUGGUGGAAAGGAAGCUUUCACUCUUCUAUUGAAAUGGUGUAUGAUGCUAAGUUUCAAACUGCUACAGUCACUUGUCAUCAUAGAGUGAAAGCAUGGUAAUGACUCAGGUGACCACAGAGUAGAGUCCAAGGCUCCAGACAUACUGUCCAAUCCAAGUAAAGAGAUAGAAGCCAGGUCCUUUGUGACAUCAUUUGAGCCAUUGGAUCAAAGCUUGCCUAGAGCCUCUGGACUUGUCAGAAGUGGUAUUGGGUUAUUUUGUCACUUGCAGUGUACCUAAUGUAGCACCCAAGAACCACAUGGGUCUAUUGGUCAUCUCAACAGAUGCCAGGCCAUGUCAAGACUAAGGACAGAAGCCCUUUCCUGCUGACCCAGGAGUUAGCCUAACACUGGAGAAAAGGAAGUAGAAGAGAUCAUCUGGAGUCAUUUGCAUUCUUUGUUGUGGAGUAAUUUCAUCUGAUGACUGGAUUCAAGGAGUGGCUACAUCUGUGGGUUUCUGACAGAGUGAAGUUGAAGAUGAUUGGAACAGAGAAAGAUGAGAAAUUGUGAGAUAAAGAAACCAAGAUGACCUGCCAAAGGUUACAGACAUGGUAAGGGACAGCACCAGGAUGCAACCUCAGGUCAUCUGGAAGCAGAAGGUAUACUUAACCACUACACAUUGCCUCUAAAUAAAUGUUUGCUAGAUCUAAAUAAAAAUUUUAACUUAACUAGAUGUUAUAUGUUUGUUUUAAACACCCCUAUAAAUGGCAGGACUAGAAUACAAUCCAGCCACACUCUGUAAAUUAGCCAUGGGAUGAUGAGGAACAGCAAGCUGAACACACUGAAGCCUUGUCUAUGUCAGAGUGCCAUCUCCAAGUUUGCUUGGGACUCCCUUAACACUAGACCUACUUCUCUGUCUUUUAAAAAUUAUCUGAACAACAAAAAGAUCAUAGU